AGCGGGAUAGCUCAGCUGGCCAGAGCGUACGACUCAUAAUCGUAAGGUCGAGAGUUCGAGUCUCUCUCUCGCUACAA
Molecule: transfer RNA, 77 nt
Filed under: Alloscardovia macacae
Lineage: Bacteria; Bacillati; Actinomycetota; Actinomycetes; Bifidobacteriales; Bifidobacteriaceae
Description: tRNA-Met
Rfam family: tRNA
About the family: Transfer RNA (tRNA) molecules are approximately 80 nucleotides in length. Their secondary structure includes four short double-helical elements and three loops (D, anti-codon, and T loops).
Source: RNAcentral